GCAUUUGAUCGUGUUGUUUCGUAAUCGGUUAUCAUAAUUUCCAAUAUGGCUGGUAUCAUUGUCGUCAAUAUGUUUUAUGCACUCCACAUUGAGGAGGACACUACAAAAGUACAAAAGUACUCGGACUAGAGAGAUAUCCACGCAUGCCAAAAUGAUACAUAAUUUGUUGGUGGCCGCCGAUGUACUUUGGAGAUGAUAUGUGGAGUAUAGUACCCCCCCCCAUUAGAAACAAUAGUCGCACAUCUGGAGGAGGAAGAUGGCGACGACGAUGAGUACUAAAAAUUCUGUAUUCAUAUAUAUACGUAUAUGUAUAUGUAUAUGUUUAAUUUUUUUUUUUUAACAUUUUUUCCUAAAUUGGGUUCACCACGUGUUUUUAAUAAUAGUUAUCUCUUGAGUAUAACAUCUCCAUAGUAAGGUAUGGUUUUAUUUUAACGGAGCAGUUUCUUGUUACAAUUUCAGUAUAUGGAGUAUUAGCCUUUGAUUAAUAUACAUGUUUAAUUUAUUAUAUUUAUAAUUUUUUUUGGUUAUGUUGUUGUUGACGACACUUUUUAUAGUGACAUGGUAAAACAACAAAAAAAAAUUUACAGAGUUGCUUAUGUGGUAGCCAAAAAAAAAUUUUACAUGAUAAUGAUGAUAAUAUUUUACAGAACUAAUAAUUGUAUUAUUGCCUUAAAAUUUAAACAAACAUAAAUAUUUGAUGUUGUUGGAAAAAUUGUACAAUGUUGCUUAUAUGAUAAAAUUGUACACAUAAUGUUGAUAAGAUGUAUCGAUUAUGUAUUAAGUACAUCAUGUUUUUGUAUGUCUUAACCUACUUAUGUGUUUUGUUUAACUUAUUAGAAAUAGUUGCGUAAUUUUACUUAUUACCUAUGGUCCUAUACUAAUAGGCCAAUAAUCUAUGAUUGUAUUAGUAUUUAAAUAUAUAUUUAAUUUAAAGCUUAAUACAACAGCUGUAUGUACAAAUAAUU
Molecule: long non-coding RNA, 965 nt
Organism: Rhopalosiphum padi (bird cherry-oat aphid)
Lineage: Eukaryota; Metazoa; Arthropoda; Insecta; Hemiptera; Aphididae
Exons: 3
Source: RefSeq, a predicted model, not a curated record